Molecule: ribosomal RNA, 506 nt
Filed under: uncultured bacterium
Lineage: Bacteria
Description: partial 16S ribosomal RNA
Rfam family: Bacterial small subunit ribosomal RNA
Source: RNAcentral
AGUGAACGCUGGCGGUAGGCCUAACACAUGCAAGUCGAACGGCAGCACAGGAGAGCUUGCUCUCUGGGUGGCGAGUGGCGGAUGGGUGAGGAAUACAUCGGAAUCUACUCUGUCGUGGGGGAUAACGUAGGGAAACUUACGCUAAUACCGCAUACGACCUACGGGUGAAAGCAGGGGAUCUUCGGACCUUGCGCGAUUGAAUGAGCCGAUGUCGGAUUAGCUAGUUGGCGGGGUAAAGGCACACCAAGGCGACGAUCCGUAGCUGGUCUGAGAGGAUGAUCAGCCACACGGGAACGGAGACACGGUCCAGACUCCUACGGGAGGCAGCAGUGGGGAAUAUUGGACAAUGGGCGCAAGCCUGAUCCAGCCAUACCGCGUGGGUGAAGAAGGCCUUCGGGUUGUAAAGCCCUUUUGUUGGGAAAGAGAUCCAGCUGGCUAAUACCCGGUUGGGAUGACGGUACCCAGAGAAUAAGCACCGGCUAACUUCGUGCCAGCAGCCGCAGUAA